This 339-nucleotide ribosomal RNA is filed under the name Tachytrechus notatus. RNAcentral describes it as "partial 12S ribosomal RNA". The record is from RNAcentral. Lineage: Eukaryota; Metazoa; Arthropoda; Insecta; Diptera; Dolichopodidae.
AAAAUUGUAUAAAUUUUAACCAGAGUAGUAUUAGUUAUGGUCUUGAAACUCAAAAAAUUUGGCGGUAUUUUAGUCUAUUUAGAGGAACCUGUAGUAUAAUCGAUAAUCCACGAUGGACCUCACUUAAUUUUGUUUUUCAGUUUGUAUACCGCUGUUAUUUGAAAAUUUUAUAAGAAUAAUAAUUUUCAUAAAUUUUUAUUAAAAAAUAAAUCAGGUCAAGGUGCAGCUAAUAAUUAAGUAUUUAUGGGUUACAAUAAAUUUAUUUAUACGGCUAAAAAUAUGAAAUUAUUUUUUUAAGGUGGAUUUAAUAGUAAAUUUUUAUAGAUUAAAAAAUUGAUU